Molecule: ribosomal RNA, 453 nt
Filed under: uncultured Syntrophus sp.
Lineage: Bacteria; Pseudomonadati; Thermodesulfobacteriota; Syntrophia; Syntrophales; Syntrophaceae
Description: bacterial SSU rRNA
Rfam family: Bacterial small subunit ribosomal RNA
Source: RNAcentral
AAGCGGUGAGCAUGUGGUUUAAUUCGAUGCAACGCGAAGAACCUUACCUGGGCUUGACAUCUGGGGAAUCCCCUGGAAACAGGGAGUGCCUUUCGGGAGCCCCAAGACAGGUGCUGCAUGGCUGUCGUCAGCUCGUGUCGUGAGAUGUUGGGUUAAGUCCCGCAACGAGCGCAACCCUUGUCUUUAAUUGCCAUCAUUCAGUUGGGCACUUUAAAGAGACUGCCGGUGUUAAGCCGGAGGAAGGUGGGGAUGACGUCAAGUCCUCAUGGCCUUUAUGCCCAGGGCUACACACGUGCUACAAUGGGUGGUACAGAGGGCUGCGAAGCCGCGAGGUGGAGCGAAUCCCAGAAAACCUGUCUCAGUCCGGAUUGAAGUCUGCAACUCGACUUCAUGAAGGCGGAAUCGCUAGUAACCGCGAAUCAGCAGGUCGCGGUGAAUACGUUCCCGGGCCUU